Molecule: RNase P RNA, 390 nt
Filed under: Thermocrispum agreste
Lineage: Bacteria; Bacillati; Actinomycetota; Actinomycetes; Pseudonocardiales; Pseudonocardiaceae
Description: RNase P RNA component class A
Rfam family: Bacterial RNase P class A
About the family: Ribonuclease P (RNase P) is a ubiquitous endoribonuclease, found in archaea, bacteria and eukarya as well as chloroplasts and mitochondria.
Source: RNAcentral
CGAGUUGGCAGGGCGGCCGCGGCCGGGAGCGCUCCUCCCGGUCGAGGAAAGUCCGGACUCCGCAGGGCAGGGUGGUUGCUAACGGCAACCCGGGGUGACCCGCGGGACAGUGCCACAGAAAACAGACCGCCUGGGCCCGGUGCUCAGGUAAGGGUGAAACGGUGGUGUAAGAGACCACCAGCGUCCCGGGUGACCGGGGCGGCUCGGUAAACCCCACCCGGAGCAAGGCCAAGAGGGCGCCCACCAGGGCGCCUGCGCGAGCGACAGGGCGGCCCGUCCUGCUCGCGGGUAGGCCGCUAGAGCCUGUCGGCGACGGCAGGCCCAGAUGGAUGGCCGCCACCCGAAGUACACCUUCGGGUACAGAAUCCGGCUUACAUGCCAACUCGUCCG